This is an unclassified non-coding RNA of Saimiri boliviensis boliviensis (Bolivian squirrel monkey), 273 nucleotides long. It matches the Rfam family "Metazoan signal recognition particle RNA". Rfam says of the family: The signal recognition particle (SRP) is a universally conserved ribonucleoprotein. It is involved in the co-translational targeting of proteins to membranes. The record is from Ensembl. Lineage: Eukaryota; Metazoa; Chordata; Mammalia; Primates; Cebidae.
AGCCACAUAAUAAGAACUGUUGGUGUUUGCUCUGGAGGAUUGCUUGAGUCCAGGAGUUCUGGGCUGUAGUGCACUAUGCCGAUCGGGUGUCCACAUUAAGUUUGGCAUCAAUAUGGUGACCUCCUGGGAGCGGGGGACCACGAGGUUGCCUAAGGAGGGGUGAACCAGUCCAGGUCAGAAAUGGAGCAGGUCAAAACUCCCAUGCUGAUCAGUAGUGGGAUCGAGCCUCUGAAAAGUCACUGCACUCUAGCCGGGGCAACAAAGCAAGACCCU